AAAGUCGUAACAAGGUUUCCGUAGGUGAACCUGCGGAAGGAUCAUUACCGAAUGACCCGCACCUCGCCCUGUGCGUGGGUGCUCAUUGGCGCCUCUUGAUCUUGAUCCUGGUGCUCACCCACCACUCCUGGGUUGGGUGCCCCUUUCAAGAUGUCCUACACUACACACAAACCUGUCAUCGUAUGGUGUUGAACAUUUAACAUAUAAUACAACUUUCAACAACGGAUCUCUUGGCUCUC
RNAcentral lists this unclassified non-coding RNA (239 nucleotides) under Basidiomycota sp. Its description in RNAcentral is "partial contains small subunit ribosomal RNA, internal transcribed spacer 1, and 5.8S ribosomal RNA". The stretch from base 1 to 47 matches the Rfam family "Eukaryotic small subunit ribosomal RNA", at positions 1785 to 1831 of the family's 1831-position model. The record is from RNAcentral. Lineage: Eukaryota; Fungi; Basidiomycota.